AUGUAUGGUACCCCUGAAGGGCGGUGCCCUGUCCCUUCGAUGAAUCUCUGCAAGGAGAAUCUGUUCAUUUCUGGUGACCCAAUGGAUAAGCAUGUAGGUGCUACCCUUGUCUAUAUGGGAGGCGUGAGCAAAUUCUGUCUCGUGCAGUGUGUCAACAAGGAGGUGAGGGUUCCUGGUUUGAGCCUACCUGGUUCCUGGAUGUAUCGUCUGACAACAUUCUCUCUCAGCCUGGACGAUCAGCGUAAAGAACUGAUGACUGGCGAUACCUGUCACUCGCAGUACUACAAAGUGCCCAAAGCAACCACCAAGUCGUUACUCGUUCAAGAUCCUGUGGCAUUUUGGAUGUAG
Molecule: ribosomal RNA, 348 nt
Filed under: Triticum aestivum (bread wheat)
Lineage: Eukaryota; Viridiplantae; Streptophyta; Magnoliopsida; Poales; Poaceae
Description: partial small subunit ribosomal RNA
Source: RNAcentral